Molecule: transfer RNA, 86 nt
Filed under: Felis catus (domestic cat)
Lineage: Eukaryota; Metazoa; Chordata; Mammalia; Carnivora; Felidae
Also listed under: 1 other name
Rfam family: tRNA
About the family: Transfer RNA (tRNA) molecules are approximately 80 nucleotides in length. Their secondary structure includes four short double-helical elements and three loops (D, anti-codon, and T loops).
Source: Rfam by way of RNAcentral
GCCGGGGUGGCUCAGUCGGUUGAGCUUCUGACUCGGGCUCAGGUCACGAUCUCGGCAGUUUGCGGGUUCGAGCCCCGCAUCGGGCU